UGAAGAAUCUUGGGCAAUGGAAGAAAUUCUGACCCAGUGAGAAUACGUGUAUGAUGAAUACGUCCAGUUUUUUGUAAAGUACUUUCAGCGAUGAAGAAAACGUCAGCAGUCGCAGUAAGAAGUGCUGGCUAACUCCGUGCCAGCAGCCGCGGUAAGACGGAGAGCGCGGGCGUUAUUCGUUUUGAUUGGGUGUAAAGGGUACGUAGGCUGCUGUAGACAAUACCUAACCUAAAUUGCGGAGUGUUCCUACGUAAAGGUUAUUAAAAGAAACAGCUUGAGUUGAGGAUAGGUAGGAGAAAUUCCCUGUGUAGGGGUAGAAUCCUGCCAGAUAGGGAAGAAGGCCAGCUGGCGAAGGCGUCCCUCUAGUCUCAACUGACGCUCAGGUACGAAAGUGUAGGGAGCAAACA
This 407-nucleotide ribosomal RNA is filed under the name uncultured bacterium. RNAcentral's name for it is "partial 16S ribosomal RNA". It matches the Rfam family "Bacterial small subunit ribosomal RNA", at positions 355 to 774 of the family's 1533-position model. The record is from RNAcentral.